RNAcentral lists this ribosomal RNA (442 nucleotides) under uncultured bacterium. RNAcentral's name for it is "SSU rRNA". It matches the Rfam family "Bacterial small subunit ribosomal RNA", at positions 26 to 518 of the family's 1533-position model. The record is from RNAcentral.
AGAGCGAACGCUGGCGGCAGGCCUAACACAUGCAAGUCGAGCGCCCCGCAAGGGGAGCGGCAGACGGGAGAGUAACACGUGGGAACGUACCCUUCAGUUCGGAACAACCCAGGGAAACUUGGGCUAAUACCGAAUACGUCCGUAAGGAGAAAGAUUUAUCGCUGAAGGAUCGGCCCGCGUCUGAUUAGCUUGUUGGUGAGGUAACGGCUCACCAAGGCGACGAUCAGUAGCUGGUCUGAGAGGAUGAUCAGCCUCACUGGGACUGAGACACGGCCCAGACUCCUACGGGAGGCAGCAGUGGGGAAUAUUGGACAAUGGGCGCAAGCCUGAUCCAGCCAUGCCGCGUGGGUGAUGAAGGCCCUAGGGUUGUAAAGCCCUUUCGGCGGGGAAGAUAAUGACGGUACCGCAGAAGAAGCCCGGCUAACUUCGUGCCAGCAGCCGC